GGGCGCGUAACUCAGUGGUAGAGUGCUCGCUUUGCACCUAGCGUGAUUAACUCACAUGCGAGAAGUCCAGGGUUCGAUCCCCUGCCCGUCCA
This is a non-coding RNA of Hypoxylon fragiforme, 92 nucleotides long. The record is from the annotation of a RefSeq genome assembly. NCBI's taxonomy places the organism in Eukaryota, Fungi, Ascomycota, Sordariomycetes, Xylariales, Hypoxylaceae.